Molecule: ribosomal RNA, 540 nt
Filed under: uncultured bacterium
Lineage: Bacteria
Description: bacterial SSU rRNA
Rfam family: Bacterial small subunit ribosomal RNA
Source: RNAcentral
GAUGAACGCUGGCGGCAUGCCUAAUACAUGCAAGUCGAACGAAGUGACCUUCAGAAGUGGAAGUGCUUGCACAGAAGCGGAAGAAGAUUAUCACUUAGUGGCGAACGGGUGAGUAACACGUGGGUAACCUGCCCUUCAAACUGGGAUAACUAUUGGAAACGAUAGCUAAUACCGGAUAGGUAAUACUGAGGCAUCUCGGUAUUAUUAAAGGUGCGUAUGCACCAUUGAAGGAUGGACCCGCGGUGUAUUAGCUAGUUGGUGAGGUAACGGCCCACCAAGGCGAUGAUACAUAGCCGACCUGAGAGGGUGACCGGCCACAUUGGGACUGAGACACGGCCCAAACUCCUACGGGAGGCAGCAGUAGGGAAUUUUCGUCAAUGGGGGAAACCCUGAACGAGCAAUGCCGCGUGAGCGAAGAAGGAUUUCGGUCUGUAAAGCUCUGUUGUAAAGGAAGAAAACCAGAAAGAGGAAAUGCUUUUUGGGUGACGGUACUUUACCAGAAAGCCACGGCUAACUACGUGCCAGCAGCCGCGGUAAAAC